Molecule: ribosomal RNA, 253 nt
Filed under: uncultured bacterium
Lineage: Bacteria
Description: partial 16S ribosomal RNA
Rfam family: Bacterial small subunit ribosomal RNA
Source: RNAcentral
UACAGAGGUGCCGAGCGUUAGGCGGAAUCACUGGGCUUAAAGCGUGUGUAGGCGGAUUCCUAAGUACCUUGUGAAAUCCCAUGGCUCAACCAUGGAACUGCUUGGUAUACUGGGUGUCUUGAGCCAGCUAGGGGCUACCGGAACAAAUGGUGGAGCGGUGAAAUGCGUAGAUAUCAUUUGGAACGCCAAUGGUGAAAACAGGUAGCUGGGGCUGUGCUGACGCUGAGACACGAAAGCCAGGGGAGCGAACGGG